This 534-nucleotide ribosomal RNA is filed under the name Triticum aestivum (bread wheat). RNAcentral's name for it is "partial small subunit ribosomal RNA". Lineage: Eukaryota; Viridiplantae; Streptophyta; Magnoliopsida; Poales; Poaceae. The record is from RNAcentral.
AUGGAGGCAACUAAAGGAGACAAUGUGAUGGUAGACAUACCACAACUUCCUCAUGUCACAAAUCUGGAGCUGGAUUUCCGGUCUCUAAACAACCACAUUUUUGGUGCAUGUGUAUCUAGCAUCCUUGCGCGUUGCAGCAAUCUUCAACACCUCAGCCUAGGCAUCAACAAAUCCUACAUUCGUCGGUGUGGGGAUGUGUGCUGCAUAUGCGGAUGCGUUGGGAGCUGGAAGGAGGACAAGAUCUCACUGGAUCAUCUUCGCGAGGUGGAGUUCAACGGCUUCUCGGGGCAGGAGUGCCAUGACAUGGCACACUUGUUGCUACUGAAUUCACCGGCGCUCCAGAGGAUGUCUGUGGUCGUUGAGGUAUCUGGAGAUAUCUCAUGGGACGAUAGUUCAGAUGAUGAAAGCCCACCAUGCAAGAAAGAAAUCAUGGAGACAUCGGUGUUAACGCUUCCACACCCUAGAGGGAAGUGGAGGGCACGCGCCUCGGCUAAUGAGGCAACAUCAGAGUACGAGUGGACACCAAGGCCAUGA